This 120-nucleotide ribosomal RNA is filed under the name Prolemur simus (greater bamboo lemur). The record is from RNAcentral. Lineage: Eukaryota; Metazoa; Chordata; Mammalia; Primates; Lemuridae.
AUCUAUGGCCAUACCACCCUAAAUGUACCUGAUCUCAUCUGAUCCCUGCAAACUAAGCAGGGUCAGGCCUGGGUAGUACUUGGAUGGGAGAUUGCCUGGGAAUACGAGGUGCUGUAGGCU